Molecule: ribosomal RNA, 433 nt
Filed under: uncultured bacterium
Lineage: Bacteria
Description: partial 16S ribosomal RNA
Rfam family: Bacterial small subunit ribosomal RNA
Source: RNAcentral
AGCGAACGCUGGCGGCAGGCCUAACACAUGCAAGUCGAACGAACUCUUCGGAGUUAGUGGCGGACGGGUGAGUAACACGUGGGAACGUGCCUUUUGGUUCGGAAUAACUCAGGGAAACUUGUGCUAAUACCGAAUGUGCCCUUCGGGGGAAAGGUUUAUCGCCAUUAGAGCGGCCCGCGUCUGAUUAGCUAGUUGGUGAGGUAACGGCUCACCAAGGCGACGAUCAGUAGCUGGUCUGAGAGGAUGACCAGCCGCACUGGGACUGAGACACGGCUCAGACUCCUACGGGAGGCAGCAGUGGGGAAUCUUGCGCAAUGGGCGAAAGCCUGACGCAGCCAUGCCGCGUGAAUGAUGAAGGUCUUAGGAUUGUAAAAUUCUUUCACCGGGGACGAUAAUGACGGUACCCGGAGAAGAAGCCCCGGCUAACUUCGUG